ACUCAAAUGAAUUGACGGGGACCCGCACAAGCGGUGGAGCGUGUUCUUUAAUUCGAUGAUAAUCGAAGAACCUUACCCGGACUUGACAUCCUACGAAUUUCUCCGAAAGGAGAAAGUGCCUUCGGGAGCGUAGUGACAGGUGCUGCAUGGCCGUCGUCAGCUCGUGUCGUGAGAUGUUGGGUUAAGUCCCUCAACGAGCGCAACCCUUAUGGUUAGUUGUAUUUUUCUAGCCAGACUGCCCCGGUAACGGGGAGGAAGGAGGGGAUGAUGUCAGGUCUUUAUUGCCCUUACGUCCGGGGCUAGAAACGCGCUACAAUGGCCGGUACAAUGGGCAGCCAACCCGCGAGGGGGAGCAAAUCCCAUCAAAACCGGUCCCAGUUCGGAUUGCAGGCUGAAACUCGCCUGCAUGAAGUCGGAAUCGCUAGUAAUCGCAGAUCAGCACGCUGCGGUGAAUACGUUCCCGGGUCUUGUACACACCGCCCGU
This 484-nucleotide ribosomal RNA is filed under the name uncultured bacterium. RNAcentral describes it as "partial 16S ribosomal RNA". It matches the Rfam family "Bacterial small subunit ribosomal RNA", at positions 899 to 1397 of the family's 1533-position model. The record is from RNAcentral.